RNAcentral lists this ribosomal RNA (416 nucleotides) under uncultured eukaryote. RNAcentral's name for it is "SSU rRNA". It matches the Rfam family "Eukaryotic small subunit ribosomal RNA", at positions 570 to 990 of the family's 1831-position model. The record is from RNAcentral.
GCACCCGCGGUAAUUCCAGCUCCAAUAGCGUAUAUUAAAGUUGUUGCGGUUAAAAAGCUCGUAGUUGGAUUUCUGCCGAGGACGACCGGUCCGCCCUCUGGGUGCGUAUCUGGCUCGGCCUGGGCAUCUUCUUGGAGAACGUAUCUGCACUUGACUGUGUGGUGCGGUAUCCAGGACUUUUACUUUGAGGAAAUUAGAGUGUUUCAAGCAGGCACACGCCUUGAAUACAUUAGCAUGGAAUAAUAAGAUAGGACCUCGGUUCUAUUUUGUUGGUUUCUAGAGCUGAGGUAAUGAUUAAUAGGGAUAGUUGGGGGCAUUCGUAUUUAACUGUCAGAGGUGAAAUUCUUAGAUUUGUUAAAGACGGACUACUGCGAAAGCAUUUGCCAAGGAUGUUUUCAUCAAUCAAGAACGAAAGU